RNAcentral lists this ribosomal RNA (602 nucleotides) under Diaporthe fraxini-angustifoliae. Its description in RNAcentral is "eukaryotic LSU rRNA". The stretch from base 229 to 382 matches the Rfam family "5.8S ribosomal RNA". Lineage: Eukaryota; Fungi; Ascomycota; Sordariomycetes; Diaporthales; Diaporthaceae. The record is from RNAcentral.
UGGAAGUAAAAAGUCGUAACAAGGUCUCCGUUGGUGAACCAGCGGAGGGAUCAUUGCUGGAACGCGCCCCAGGCGCACCCAGAAACCCUUUGUGAACUUAUACCUUUUGUUGCCUCGGCGCUGCUGGUCUCUAGUAGGCCCCUCACUUCGGUGAGGAAAAGGCACGCCGGCGGCCAAAUCAACUCUGUUUUUACACUGAAACUCUGAGAAAAAACACAAAUGAAUCAAAACUUUCAACAACGGAUCUCUUGGUUCUGGCAUCGAUGAAGAACGCAGCGAAAUGCGAUAAGUAAUGUGAAUUGCAGAAUUCAGUGAAUCAUCGAAUCUUUGAACGCACAUUGCGCCCUCUGGUAUUCCGGAGGGCAUGCCUGUUCGAGCGUCAUUUCAACCCUCAAGCAUUGCUUGGUGUUGGGGCACUGCUUCUAACGAAGCAGGCCCUGAAAUCUAGUGGCGAGCUCGCCAGGACCCCGAGCGCAGUAGUUAAACCCUCGCUCUGGAAGGCCCUGGCGGUGCCCUGCCGUUAAACCCCCAACUUCUGAAAAUUUGACCUCGGAUCAGGUAGGAAUACCCGCUGAACUUAAGCAUAUCAAUAAGCGGAGGAA